This 432-nucleotide ribosomal RNA is filed under the name uncultured bacterium. RNAcentral's name for it is "partial 16S ribosomal RNA". It matches the Rfam family "Bacterial small subunit ribosomal RNA", at positions 29 to 507 of the family's 1533-position model. The record is from RNAcentral.
ACGAACGCUGGCGGCAUGCCUAACACAUGCAAGUCGAACGAGACCUUCGGGUCUAGUGGCGCACGGGUGCGUAACGCGUGGGAACCUGCCCUUAGGUUCGGAAUAACUCCCCGAAAGGGGUGCUAAUACCGGCUAAUGUCUUCGGACCAAAGAUUUAUCGCCUUUGGAUGGGCCCGCGUUGGUUUAGCUAGUUGGUAGGGUAAAAGCCUACCAAGGCGACGAUCCAUAGCUGGUCUGAGAGGAUGAUCAGCCACACUGGGACUGAGACACGGCCCAGACUCCUACGGGAGGCAGCAGUGGGGAAUAUUGGAAAAUGGGCGAAAGCAUGAUCCAGCAAUGCCGCGUGAGUGAUGAAGGCCUUAGAGUUGUAAAACUCUUUUACCCGGGAUGAUAAUGACAGUACCGGGAGAAUAAGCUCCGGCUAACUCCGUG